RNAcentral lists this ribosomal RNA (497 nucleotides) under uncultured bacterium. Its description in RNAcentral is "partial 16S ribosomal RNA". It matches the Rfam family "Bacterial small subunit ribosomal RNA", at positions 28 to 507 of the family's 1533-position model. The record is from RNAcentral.
GACGAACGCUGGCGGCGUGCCUAAUACAUGCAAGUUGAGCGCUGAAGGUUGGUACUUGUACCAACUGGAUGAGCAGCGAACGGGUGAGUAACGCGUGGGGAAUCUGCCUUUGAGCGGGGGACAACAUUUGGAAACGAAUGCUAAUACCGCAUAAAAACUUUAAACACAAGUUUUAAGUUUGAAAGAUGCAAUUGCAUCACUCAAAGAUGAUCCCGCGUUGUAUUAGCUAGUUGGUGAGGUAAAGGCUCACCAAGGCGAUGAUACGUAGCCGACCUGAGAGGGUGAUCGGCCACAGUGGGACUGAGACACGGCCCAAACGCCUACGGGAGGCAGCAGUAGGGAAUCUUCGGCAAUGGACGAAAGUCUGACCGAGCAACGCCGCGUGAGUGAAGAAGGUUUUCGGAUCGUAAAACUCUGUUGGUAGAGAAGAACGUUGGUGAGAGUGGAAAGCUCAUCAAGUGACGGUAACUACCCAGAAAGGGACGGCUAACUACGUG